UUUUAUUUAAUUUGGUAGUGGAGUAAUGCCACGCUAAGACGUAAGUCAUCGGUUCGAAUCCGAUAAAG
RNAcentral lists this transfer RNA (68 nucleotides) under Raddia maculata. RNAcentral describes it as "Sucrea maculata tRNA-Thr". The record is from RNAcentral. Lineage: Eukaryota; Viridiplantae; Streptophyta; Magnoliopsida; Poales; Poaceae. RNAcentral also lists the same sequence under 1 other name.